This 440-nucleotide ribosomal RNA is filed under the name uncultured bacterium. RNAcentral describes it as "partial 16S ribosomal RNA". It matches the Rfam family "Bacterial small subunit ribosomal RNA", at positions 339 to 795 of the family's 1533-position model. The record is from RNAcentral.
CUACGGGAGGCUCCAGUAGGGAAUAUUGGGCAAUGGGCGAAAGCCUGACCCAGCAACGCCGCGUGCGCGAUGAAGGCCUUCGGGUUGUAAAGCGCUUUUCUGGAGGAAGAGAAAGGACGGUACUCCAGGAAUAAGGAUCGGCUAACUACGUGCCAGCAGCCGCGGUAACACGUAGGAUCCGAGCGUUAUCCGAAUUUACUGGGCGUAAAGCGCGUGCAGGCGGUCGGGUAAGUUGGGCGUGAAAUCUCCUGGCUCAACUGGGAGAGGUCGUCCAAAACUACCUGGCUAGAGGACGGUAGAGGGAGGUGGAAUUCCCGGUGUAGUAGUGAAAUGCGUAGAUAUCGGGAGGAACACCAGUGGCGAAAGCGGCCUCCUGGACCGUACCUGACGCUCAGACGCGAAAGCUAGGGGAGCGAACGGGAUUAGAUACCCCUGUAGUC